UGGGUAAAACGCACAUGCAAAACACAGAACCCAAGAUUGCCACCUUGCGCAACCUUCCACUAUCAUGAGUCCAAAAUCGCGAAAGGCAAACACCGUCGCGCCUUCAUCAUGGACAAAAACCUCAAGGAAAGCUAGUCACAUAACCAACCAAAACCCCUUCGAACAACGUCGCUGCGAUUAGCGCCUCCUUCAUCAUCUUCAUCCACCCCAAAU
RNAcentral lists this long non-coding RNA (213 nucleotides) under Vigna radiata. Its description in RNAcentral is "long non-coding RNA (VRAD_LNC007584)". The record is from RNAcentral. Lineage: Eukaryota; Viridiplantae; Streptophyta; Magnoliopsida; Fabales; Fabaceae.